UACGAAGGGGGCUAGCGUUGCUCGGAAUCACUGGGCGUAAAGGGUGCGUAGGCGGGUCUUUAAGUCAGGGGUGAAAUCCUGGAGCUCAACUCCAGAACUGCCUUUGAUACUGAAGAUCUUGAGUUCGGGAGAGGUGAGUGGAACUGCGAGUGUAGAGGUGAAAUUCGUAGAUAUUCGCAAGAACACCAGUGGCGAAGGCGGCUCACUGGCCCGAUACAGACGCUGAGGCACGAAAGCGUGGGGAGCAAACAGG
RNAcentral lists this ribosomal RNA (253 nucleotides) under uncultured bacterium. RNAcentral's name for it is "partial 16S ribosomal RNA". It matches the Rfam family "Bacterial small subunit ribosomal RNA", at positions 524 to 776 of the family's 1533-position model. The record is from RNAcentral.